GCCGGGCGUGGUGGCGCAUGCCUGUAGUCCCAGCUACUCAGGAGGCUGAGGCAGGAGAAUCACUUGAACCCAGGAGGCAGAGAUUGCAGUGAGCUGAGAUCAUGCCACUGCACUUUAGCCUGGGUGACAGACUUAGACUCUGUCUCAA
Molecule: non-coding RNA, 148 nt
Filed under: Homo sapiens (human)
Lineage: Eukaryota; Metazoa; Chordata; Mammalia; Primates; Hominidae
Source: Rfam by way of RNAcentral